AGAUUUACUGCAGAAUAGCAAGGCAGUCUGACACUGAAGAAACACACUACCACUGAAGAAACACACACAUACAUACAUACACACUCCCUCUCCUGGAUCUAGAGAAACACACAUUAUAUACAAGUUUCUUAGAUCAAGUUUCAGGAGUAAGGGAAGAAUUCUGAAACUGAAAACCCAGGAGCACAAAAAACACACAUACAUAUAUAUACACUAAAAAAAACAUAUACACAUUAAUUUUUCCAGACAUAGAUGUAGAAAUUUAAAACACACUAUAUAUUCAUUUUUGCUCUUGGAUAUAGCUGCAGAAAUAGGGGAACAAGAUUUAAAUGAAGAUAUGGAAGUGUUUAAUCUAGCUAACAGAUGUGGAGUAGAGGACCUGGAAACAUUGCUCAGAAGGGAAAGACUCCAGUGGUUUGGACAUGUAAAGAGAGCAGUGGACGGCUGUUGGCAGGCGUUCUGGUCGGGCGUGUGUUCCUGUGUGCUCUCUACCCGCGUUGCCGUCUACCGAGUACUAGGACUGGUAUAUCCCGGUUUCUUUUUUGUGGUAUAUCCCGGCUUCUCUUUUGUAUUUUAUUACGGUCAGUCUUUGUCUUUUUGGUCUUGUUGUAGUUUUCUGGGUGUGGUGUUGUGUUUUAGGAGCUUUUCUUGUGUUUUGGUUUGGUUUGGUCUGUCCCGAGGUCAGGCCGGUUGUCCCUGGUGGAUUGUUUGGUAGCCCGUUGGUGAGUGACGGGUUGUUUGUUUCUUCCAUAAAUUGUUUUACUGUCCCUGGAACAGUUUUGGCUCCUAUCUCUUUGUUAUUUUUUUAUGUUUGGGGUUUAGCCUUGGCCAUGCUGAGUGUGGUGCUGGCCGUGGUUGGGGUGUGGUGACCAGGAGGAUGAGUGCUGGGAGGGGGAGUAGUUGGGGGUAGAGGACCCCUGCUGCAACUGCUACUCCUGCCCUCUGUUACCUCUUGUUAAGGAUGAUGAGGAGGGGGCAUUGCCUGUGGUGAGUGCAGCGAGUGGUGCCAUGGCUCACAAGCUUGCACUGGCCUUCCCUCAGAUUUUGUGAAGGAAGUCUUGAAGCACCAGGGUAAGGGGGUGAAGUAGGUGUGCACUUGAUGAAGGAAGUCUUGAAGCACCAGGGUAAGGGGGUGAAGUAGGUGUGCACUUGAUGAAGGAAGUCUUGAAGCACCAGGGUAAGGGGGUGAAGUAGGUGUGCACUAGAUGAAGGAAGUCUUGAAGCACCAGGGUAAGGGGGUGAAGUAGGUGUGCACUAGAUGAAGGAAGUCUUGAAGCACCAGGGUAAGGGGGUGAAGUAGAUGUGCACUAGAUUAAGGAAGUCUUGAAGCACCAGGGUAAGGGGGUGAAGUAGAUGUGCACUAGAUGAAGGAAGUCUUGAAGCACCAGGGUAAGGGGGUGAAGUAGGUGUGCACUAGAUGAAGGAAGUCUUGAAGCACCAGGGUAAGGGGGUGAAGUAGGUGUGCUCUAGGUGAAGGAAGUCUUGAAGCACCAGGGUAAGGGGGUGAAGUAGGUGUGCUCUAGGUGAAGGAAGUCUUGAAGCACCAGGGUAAGGGGGUGAAGUAUAUGUGCUCUAGAUGCAGAUUAGCUUCCCCUGUUAACUCAAGUUCACCUGCCAACCCUGACCUUCAGUCACUUCAGGAAUGCUUGGCGCAGAUGUUCAACACCAUUGCUGGUCUCAGUAAUUCAGUAAAAUCCAUUGAUUUACGGAUCUCUGAGACUCAAAGGAACAGCGUUGCUUCUGUGGGAGAAGGGAGGACUGACAGACAUAUGCAUACCAUGAUCAGAGAAGAGGUAUGAGAGUUGAGUGAGAGAGAGAAGAGGAAGGACAGUAUCAUGCCUCUUUCCUAUUGCCAGAGAGACUGGACCCGAUUACCUUGGUUGAUAUUGUACCAAUUUCUCCUUCCUUAGUCAGAGCUAAAAUCCCCAAUUCCAACUUGAAACAGGAAUUAUUGUCAAGGAGCAACAAAUUAUUUAACAGCCAAUAUGCACAGGUUUUUAUUUCUAGGGAUCUCACUUAUAACCAGAGAGAGGAACUGCGGAGAAAGAGGGCUGCCAGUCUUACUGACACGAGUUCUUUGCCCGGUCAGGCAACCCGAUUAGGUAGUGGCUCAAGCCUUGCGUCUGCUCCUGUGUCCUCUGAGCCUGACCCCCUGGCCUGUCCUGGUACUGUUGGCCCCACAAGAAUGAUCAUUAGACCUCUCCGGUUCCAAACAUGCUGAUGUUAAUGUCCUUGUACAUAAAUUCUUUAUUACUUUUAUUCUUUUGAAUUUCAAUUGUUUGGUGAAUAAAGUUAAAAUGCUUGUAUAUUUACUGUCCAGCUGUAAUGUGGCAUUAUGUGGUGUGUGUGAGGCUUGGCUUAAUUCUGAUAUCAGUGACACUGUUGGGAGGUUUUAAAGAUAUAUGGUGUGGGAGGAAAACUGCUUAAUGCAAUAAAGUCUUUUUAUGAGGAUGCAUCUGCAUGUGUCAAAAUUAGUGGAGAAACAAGUGAACAUUUUGAGAUAAAAGUGGGCGUGAGACUUUGUCCCAAUCUUGAACAUUUGCUGACAAGAAAUCACAAUUGGGACACUAGAGGUCACUCCUACAAGCUCCAUGUCCCCCGUUGUAACACUGAUGUGAGAGCCCGCUUCUUCUCAUUGGGAGUGAUUAACAUUUGGAACAGCUUGCCGGAUUAUGUUGUUUCUGUCACCUCGGUGAAUUCCUUCAAGCACCAGCCGGGCAAGCAUCUUGGUCAGAUCCUGUACGAGUUUGAUUGCCAUGUGGUUUGGUUGUUCUUUGGGCGUUUUGUUUGGAUUGUUGUUAUUGGCUGGGUAUUGAAAAUUAGUAGUUGUCCUUGCCAUUUUGUGAUGUCAUAUUAGCCGACCAUCUUCAUGAAAAUCAUCAGCUGCAGUUUUGGUUGGAGACAUGACACAGUUUUAUGGAGGGGGCGUGUCCACAUCCAGGUAAGAAAUCCUGGUAAGGGGAGGAUACAGUGCUGGGAGUUUUGGAGAGAUUGGAGGUAGAAGGAAGGAGACCAGUUGGUAGACCUAGGAAAACGUGGAGAAGGUGUAUACAGGAAGACUUGGCAUUGAUGGGACUGGAUGAACAUCGGGCAGAAGACAGAGUAGAAUGGAGGAGAGCCAUAAAGCGUCCAACCACUCAGGAAGUGUUUAAUGCUACGAAAUACACAUAAAAACACAUUAACUUUUCUCAACAGAUGUAGUAAAGCAAGAAACACACACUAUAUAUUAAUUUCUCCCUUAGACGUAGCUGAAAAAAACUAGGGGAAUAAAGAAGUCUUACCCUGCAUGACCCAACAGCUCAGCCCCUCACUCACCCCUUUCCUCACUAACACCAUAACCCACCAUAGACCAGCCCGGCCCACCACCUCACCCCUCCCUCCCUCCCUCCUUC
Eriocheir sinensis (Chinese mitten crab) is the source of this 3389-nucleotide long non-coding RNA. RefSeq lists it as uncharacterized. The record is from RefSeq and is a predicted model, not a curated record. NCBI's taxonomy places the organism in Eukaryota, Metazoa, Arthropoda, Malacostraca, Decapoda, Varunidae. The transcript is spliced from 3 exons.